Molecule: non-coding RNA, 61 nt
Organism: Chelonia mydas (Green sea turtle)
Lineage: Eukaryota; Metazoa; Chordata; Testudines; Cheloniidae
Source: Rfam
CAUGGUGUAAUGGCUAGCACUCUGGACUCUGAAUCCAGUGAUCCGACUUCAAAGCUCGGUG